Molecule: long non-coding RNA, 977 nt
Organism: Cydia pomonella (codling moth)
Lineage: Eukaryota; Metazoa; Arthropoda; Insecta; Lepidoptera; Tortricidae
Exons: 2
Source: RefSeq, a predicted model, not a curated record
GAAACUCGGAGGAAUAUUAAUUCUACUUUUGUGUAUACAUUUGUACAUGAUCCACCCCAAUAUCAAUAUUUUACUUGACUGCGACUUCUCCAGAAAGAAGGGCUUUAAGUACUGAUGAUUCAGUACAGCCUGUAGCUUAUGAUUCUAGCCGGAUUUAAAAAAAUGAUAUAUCAAUAGAUUCCUCUUGCCCAAAGAAUACAAUACUCACGGUCGCUCUCUAUCAAAUGACUAGACGUUAUUGUAUUGUAUAAAUGAAUGGACUCCAGGAACGUGGGACGUCAAGAUUUUGGGAGUGAGUCCCAGAAUUCACGAUACCGAAAUUCCAAAAUUUCAGAUAUUCGCGUUUCCAAAACCUGGAAAGUGGAAAUAAACCUUCAUGCAGUAUUAUCUAUACUGAGCCUCAAAACAGAAAAGAAGCAAGUCGUCAUAAAACUGACGUUUUUUUAUAUAAAUGCCGUCAAAAUUAUUUUCAAUUACAUAUUAAAAUAAAAUUAGUGUUGUGAAUUUAGUUAUUUCUGCUAUAUAUUACAUAUUGAAUUAUGGGCUGCCACGUCGGAUGCUGGCCGGGCGCCGGUAUCAAAUCAGGCUACGCGCGCGACGGCGGAAGCCCUAACUACCCAUACCUGUGCUACUCAUGCUACUCAUACUCACCGUGCUGGCCCCGCUGCUAUAACUUCUAGUCAUUGUGCCCCCAUCUGUGCCCCUGGCUGUCAAAUCAGGCUAAGAGCGUGACUGCGGGACCCUUAAUUUUUUCAUGCUAUUCUUCUCCGUACAGUUAUAACCCAUAUUCGUGCCUGGGGGCCUAGCCAAGAUGCCAAAGCUUUCUGCCUCUAUAUUCGUAUCUAGGCCAGACACCCUGGUAAGAAACCCAGCUUUGUCUACGUGAUUUACAAGUGUGGUGUAAUUUAACCUUGUCUGGUGAUGUCAAAGAAAUGUUAUUUGCAAUACUAAUUUUGUAAUAAAGUAAUUGGGAUGAA